AUGAUCUUCAUUAAGACUCCAUGGGUGUGUCUGAGCUCCUGCUGCCAAAAGGGCCACUAAUAGAUGAAUUUCUUGCACUCCCGAGAACAAGCCUCUCUCGUCUUCCAAAUGCUUCAUUUACUAAAAUACAAACAAACAGUUAAACUAACAGAUCAGGAAAUUAAGUCAGAAUAUACAAAGACACUAAAAUGCAGACUUGAGCAAUGAGGUUCUCUAUUCUGGGGCAGAAAUUUUAUGAAAAUAUACUUAGUACUUUAUAAAUGGUAAAGUGAGUAACCAACUCAGAAGUCCAAGUUAAUGUUCUGAAUGAAGUGAAUUAUUUUUUUAAACGGUCCAAUUUAUUUUUGUACUUUACUUUCUUUGCCAUGUCCUGGAUUUGUCUGAUCCACCUUGGUAACAGAUGUCCCAUUCCUUGUAAGUGACUCUCUCCUAGCCUUAUUCUACUUCUGAUUGCUUCCUACUUUUUCUUUCACUUUUCUCUGAUCAUAACCAGGACAGAACUUUUUGAACUUAGGACUUACAUCAGAGUAACCCAGAGAAGAAUCUCAGGACCCUUGUUUUGCAUGGGAGGGAGGAUGCAGGAAUCACAUAGUGGGGAUAUAUAUAUAUUAUCUCUGUGUUUAUAGAAUGCACCAGACUACCUCAAAGUAAUAAAUAAGCAGCCAGGAUCCCCUAAAGGGAGAAGAGUGGCCUCUUCCAGAAAGUUGGAUUUUGUAGAAUUUUAUAGUUGAGCAAAGGAUGAAUUUAUUGACAUUGGUAACUGUGGGGAAGAGGGCUAUUUGUUGAGACCAUGCUAUAUUUCUUUCCAGCUUUCCCCAAAUAUCUUUCAAUUUUAAGACAUGUAUUUGUUAAAUGACGUACACUUAAAGUGUGAAGACAAACUUAUUUGUGAAUAUGAGCAUGACCAAUUACAUCUGAUCUUGUCUCUUUCCUAAGAAGACUACACUAGUUUUGCUAUCUUCCUGAUGUAGUCAGGUCACACAUUCUGCACUUGGUCUUAGCCAAAAUGCUGAGAAACAAUUCGAGUCACACAUUCUGUGUCGGUCCUUAUAGAACUCAUUCAGAAAAAGGAGAGGCCAGCAUGAUGGCUCACACCUGUAAUCCCAGCUACACAGAAGGCGGAGGACCAAGGAUCGCUUGAGGUCAGGAGUUUGAGACCAGCCUGCGCAACAUAGGUGAAAAAAAAAAGCGGCCAUUUCACUUGUGUCCUAGAAAAGCCUCUCCCCAGCGUCCUUGGUCUUCCCAAGCAACUGUUAAUCAGACUGCAGUUGACUGUGGCUAACUGAAACCAAAGAAAGCAAAACCGUGGAUAAGAGGGCACUACUGUAUUCUGAGAAAACCGACUGCAGUUGAGGAAAAGGUAUAUGGAUAUAAGUUCAAGCACACCAUAGCAUUGUAACUACAUACAAAAACUCACAAGUGGGUUACAAAUGAUUAAACCUGAUAUAUGCAAUAAAAUAUAC
Long non-coding RNA from Piliocolobus tephrosceles (Ugandan red Colobus), 1463 nucleotides. RefSeq lists it as uncharacterized. NCBI's taxonomy places the organism in Eukaryota, Metazoa, Chordata, Mammalia, Primates, Cercopithecidae. The transcript has 3 exons. The record is from RefSeq and is a predicted model, not a curated record.